AGACAGCAGAGUUCUGAGCUCCAGAGGUCAUUGCAUUGGAGUCACCACUAUUGAUUCUACCAUAUAGCUCCACUAAAACAUCGAUUAAGGGAAGAGUGUGAAUGCCGUCCCCCCACUGCCACAAGCGAUGCAGUCGAUUUUCCCAUAUUUGGGGAAUCUUGGGGGUCAGCACCUCCAGAAUGCAGUGGAUAGGUCUCACCCUGAGAAAGCCACAUUCAUGAUCAUGGUAUCUGCCCUGCUGGGUCUGUUCUUCUAGUCCUUCAGCCGUACAUCAUUAACAAUGGGAACAAGUAAUACUUACCUGGCAGGGGAGAUACCAUGAUCAA
Molecule: long non-coding RNA, 326 nt
Organism: Artibeus jamaicensis (Jamaican fruit-eating bat)
Lineage: Eukaryota; Metazoa; Chordata; Mammalia; Chiroptera; Phyllostomidae
Exons: 3
Source: RefSeq, a predicted model, not a curated record